RNAcentral lists this ribosomal RNA (405 nucleotides) under uncultured bacterium. RNAcentral describes it as "partial 16S ribosomal RNA". It matches the Rfam family "Bacterial small subunit ribosomal RNA", at positions 29 to 526 of the family's 1533-position model. The record is from RNAcentral.
AUUGAACGCUGGCGGCAGGCCUAACACAUGCAAGUCGAGCGAGCGGCGGACGGGUGAGUAAUGUCUGGGAAACUGCCUGAUGGAGGGGGAUACUACCGGGAACGGGUACUAAUAACCCAUAGCAACCAAUGUUGCCAGAUGGGAUUAGCGAGGAGGUGGGGUAAUGGCUCACCUAGGCGAAGAUCCCUAGCUGGUCUGAGAGGAAGACCAGCCACACUGGAACUGAGACACGGUCCAGACUCCUACGGGAGGCAGCAGUGGGGAAUAUUGCACAAUGGGCGCAAGCCUGAUGCAGCCAUGCCGCGUGUGUGAAGAAGGCCUUCGGGUUGUAAAGCACUUUCAGCGGGGAGGCGUUACCCGCAGAAGAAGCACCGGCUAACUCCGUGCCAGCAGCCGCGGUAAUAC